UCGCAUUGGAUUAAAGAUCAUAUUUGAGUGCCAAUUUUCCAUGAAAAAGGCAAUCAUCCAACGAGGUUAGAAAAGAAGAGGAGGAGAUAGAGAGAAGCUGCAAGCAGAGAUGGCGCGAGUCGUGCGACAGAGGAGACAAGCACAGGGAGCGGAGGCAAGUAAUGCAGGCAAGGAAUAAAUGGGUAGAAAACAAGCCCAAGGUUCUCGUGAUCGCCCUCUUUCCAUCUCACCUAAGAAGAUUCCACACGCCACUCUUUAACUCUUCAACUUGCCACAGGAUUCAGAUCAAGAACCGGUUUCGUCUCUGCUUACGCCGAGGAAGCUGGCUGAUUCCAAAUCUGCCUUGGGACAAUGUGUUUCUUCGAGUAACACUCGGUUGUUGUCUGUGCUUCUUCCUUUGAGAUCCAUGAAGCGCCACUUGGCGGUGGAACACUCGUGGGAGAAGAACAAGUUAGGUUGGGUCAUUUAAGAGCUGGUAGUCCACGGUCUGGAGUGGUGUUCUAACCUGCAUGCGUGUCUGCUGCCACAAUGUCAUUUGUCUUUUGUUCUAUCUCAAGAAUUUAAAGGAUGUAUUGUUCUAUAUCACAGUGCAUACGACAUGGAGGAUGAAAUCAUAAUUUUGAAGCUGCUUCUCUUGUUUUAAUGGCAUUCAUUUUCCUGAGUCCCA
Molecule: long non-coding RNA, 667 nt
Filed under: Musa acuminata (dwarf banana)
Lineage: Eukaryota; Viridiplantae; Streptophyta; Magnoliopsida; Zingiberales; Musaceae
Description: long non-coding RNA (MACU_LNC006102)
Source: RNAcentral